AAAAAUACAGAAAAGGAAAAAAAAAGCUUAGUGGUAUUCAGCAAAUUGUGAUCACCCACUAAGGUCCACCAUUUGCUUAAAACCAGAUGGGUAAGCGGGUUGAAUAGGCGGAUUCCUGGGACCCACUGGGAAGGUACUGAGGGUGGAAUCCUGAAAUCUACAUUUUUAAAGACACUUCUUCUUUAUAGAUAUCACUUCUUUCCUCCAAAGCACAACUGCAAACAUUUCUGUUAUAAAAAGAUUAAAUAAGUCAUCCCACUCCUUUUAGAUCCUCUUAAUCCAUUUUCUUUGCUGUCUCCUGCACUCAGAGAAAAUACACAUCCUUUUUUUCCCUGUUCUUUGUAAAGAGUCUAAAAUGCUCCUGUUCUGUGUUUUGCUUGGGAACAAGUGUUUUCCCUGGUCUAAAACAGAAGUUGGUAAACUACAGUCCUGGGGCCAAAUCUGGCCCAUUGCAGGUUUUUUUUUGUUUUGUUUUGUUUUGUUUGUUUUUUUUUUUGUAAUAAAGUUUUAUCAGAACACAGUCAUGCCAUUUUGUUUACAUAUUGUUUAUGGCUACUUUUACAUUACAAUGGCAGAGGUGAAGGUGUGCAGCAGAGACAGAAUGGCCUGUCAAGCUUAAAUAUUUACUAUCUGCCUUUUGUAGAAAAAGUUUGCCAAAUGCUGGCUUAGAAGGGUGGCAGCUGUUCAACAAACCCAUGUACACAUAUCUAGACUACAUUUCCCAGCCUCCCUUGCAGUUAGGCAUGGUCAUGUGAUGGAGUUCUGGUGUGGAGUUGCGAGAGGAAACUCUGAGCUGGUCUGGCCUCUGAAAUCUCCUGGAAUUGAUCCUCCCAGGCUGCAGACAAACAUAGCCUUGAACCUAGGACCCUUCCUGCUGAAGGUGGCAGAGGCUUCUUAGUUUGGGUCUAAGAAAGAGUUUGGGUCUCUUAGUCAUUAAUUGAAGGCAAACCACUUAUUCAUCAGGAAAAGCCAUUUUGCAUUUUAUAUUAGAAAUAAACCUCAAUCGGUUUGUAUUAUACAUUACAUUAAAAUCAUUUGUUGCAGCAUCACAGCUGAACUUAAAAUCUCCUCUAUUUGGCUAAAAGCUGGAGGGAGUUAAGAAGUGAGGUCACUUCCUUACUCAGAAUGCCCAUAGUGUCUCCAAAAGCUUAGAUGGGAAGUGUGGGGACAGCUACUCGGGUGCAGGAGAAAGAGGAUGGAGGAGAAGCAGAGAGACGUGAGUGGUUGUGGGAACCAGUUUUGGCCAUGGUGUCUGCUCCCGUCCUGCAACACCAGCACGACAAACAGUGGUUCUCUAGGGAUGACCAGUAGAUGUCCUACCUUAGACAGUGCCAGAGGAAUCAGCCCAUUUGCUCCAGAAAGAAUUAUUUCCAGGGCAGAUGGAACAGUCUAGUGUCAAAGUUAGAAUCCUAGAGAAAGACAUAAGGUACAGGAGAUGGAGUUUUGAAUGAGCUGUGGCAGACCUGGCUCUCGGAUCAUUCCUGUAAAAAUCAGCUACGUAGUGCAAGGCAAGUCACCACCCCUUUGAAGCCACGGCAUCCUCACGUACAUGCCCACGUCUUAGAAUGUCAGAAGCAGACUGGAUGCACUUUAUUUUUUAUUUUUUUUUGUCUUUUUGCCAUUUCUUGGGCCGCUCCCGCGGCAUAUGGAAGUUCCCAGGCUAGGGGUCUAAUCGGAGCUGAAGCCGCUGGCCUACACCAGGGCCACAGCAACGCUGGAUCCGAGCUGCGUCUGCAACCUACUCCACAGCUCACGGCAACGCCAGAUCCUUAACCCACUGAGCAAGGCCAGGGAUUGAACCCGCAACCUCAUGGUUCCUAGUCGGAUUCGUUAACCACUGCGCCACGACGGGGACUCCUGGAUGCACUUUAGAUACAACUAACCUGGUGAUGAUGGGAUAGUGUUUUGAAGUGAUAACGGAUGUGUCCCAUGCUGCACCCUCUAAUACCUAACUAACUUCUUGUACGCAGGUAGACAGGCAUAUUGCACCCUUGUCUUCGGGAAGAAUGCUUCAGUGCAACCCAGAGAACAAAGACAUGCAUUCUUGGCACAGAAGUUCUCAAAAUCUAGGCCUGUGUGGUCCAGUAGGGUGGCCACUCGCCAGGCUACUGGAAUUUAAGUUACUUAAAUAUUCAGUUCAGAGGUCACACCAGCCAUACACAGCUGUGGCUGCCGUAAUAGCAUUUCCACUAGCAGGGAACGUUCUGUUGGACGAAACGAUCUAAACCCUACGUGUGCUUGGGGCACCUUGAUUGGUCAGGAUUAGUAACCUCCCUCCUCCAAAGAUUUCUCCGGCUACGGAAGAUAUUCAAAGGAUGGUGAAGGGAGUCAAGACACAGACGGGUACCUGGGAGAGCCCCUCUUCUUGACCUCCGUGUGCCAGGUCCCAGGACUGGAAGUGGCGGGGGGGUGGUGGUGGAGGGAAGGACAGAUGCUGAGGUCUGAGCAGACCACCCCUCUACUAGGCGGAGUGGGGGCGGUGGCAAGGCCUCUCAGAAUUCUCUGGGCUCUACCCUGGAGGAGGAGCGCUGGAUGAGUGAGGGCGAUAAGCAGCCUUGCCUCCAGGACAGCCUUCCAUGAGUUUCCCAGAGCCUCUGCGGAGCAGGGAAGCAGAAGAAUAAUUUCCUGUGCCCUGGAGAAUCGCAGGGAGGAAGCAAGCUGAGCGGCAAGGGGUUGUCACGGUGGAUCCAGGUGGAGAGACUUUAGUUCCACGAAGUAGAUGCCCAUCGCCUCCUCCCUUGCACCAUUUAACCCCCCUGGCACUUGGACACAUCCCCGGGAACAGGGGCAGAGGGACCCAGAGGGCCUGAGAUUUUGUUUUGGUGUCAAGUGUGACGCCAUCACGAAUGAGAAAUUGUCAUAUACGCCGAUGUUUGAGUUUACACCUGCCGGGCAUGUCUUAUGCUUGGCUUUCCUGGACAAACGUCCAGAUACAGAGAAGUACGGAUAAUGCAAACACGCUGAAGGAGGCCCUGAGGACCAGGGCCGGGCGUGAGUUCUGUGAGGCCCUCGCCCUGGUGCCCAGAGCAGUGAGCAAUUCCGGGUGGCUGGGCUGCGUGGGGGGUGUCAUUUCCUCUGUUACUGUGAAAAACAUUCUUUGUCUAAAAAAAAAAAAAUGGGUUGUAUUCUUUUAGGAUCCUGUUUUCAAAAUGGGGGUGGUGGUGGUGGUAGAAUUUUCAUUUAAAGAAGAAUGAUUAUUAAGACCAAAGAUUUUCUUUUUUCUUUUUUUUUUUUUUUU
This 3238-nucleotide long non-coding RNA is filed under the name Sus scrofa (pig). RNAcentral's name for it is "lncRNA (ENSSSCG00045005828.1)". Lineage: Eukaryota; Metazoa; Chordata; Mammalia; Artiodactyla; Suidae. The record is from RNAcentral.